Molecule: ribosomal RNA, 253 nt
Filed under: uncultured bacterium
Lineage: Bacteria
Description: partial 16S ribosomal RNA
Rfam family: Bacterial small subunit ribosomal RNA
Source: RNAcentral
UACGGGGGGGGCAAGCGUUGUUCGGAAUUACGGGGCGUAAAGGGCUCGUAGGUGGCCAACUAAGUCAGACGUGAAAUCCCUCGGCUUAACCGGGGAACUGCGUCUGAUACUGGAUGGCUUGAGAUUGGGAGAGGGAUGCGGAAUUCCAGGUGUAGCGGUGAAAUGCGUAGAUAUCGAGAGGAACACCUGCGGCGAAGGCGGGUAGCUGGGCCGACACUGACGCUGAGGCGCGAAAGCCAGGGGAGCGAACGGG